This 427-nucleotide unclassified non-coding RNA is filed under the name Hevea brasiliensis (rubber tree). The record is from RNAcentral. Lineage: Eukaryota; Viridiplantae; Streptophyta; Magnoliopsida; Malpighiales; Euphorbiaceae.
UCAAGAAGAUAACCAGUCAAGGCAACACCAACAAUCCCAGGUAUUGCUCCAACAGUGUUUGUAAUACCCAACAGUAUACUUGCAUAUUCAGGAGAUAUAUCUUGAUGCGUGCAAUAUAGUCCAGACAGGGCAAAGCUUGAGAGGGCCAAGCCACCGGUUAGAAUCCCCACAAUUUCCCAAGGGGGCAGCCCUAGAUCUACAGAGGAGAGAGUCAUGCAAACGGCAGGAGACAAAAAGGCAACUGCUUGGCAAGUCUUUCGCACCGUAGUUGUUUCAACUCCAUUGGCAAUUAAGUUGUCAGCAAGCUGUGCAGCAAUGCUAGUUACGAAAAUUGAAGCCAAAGGAGGAAGAAUGGAAACCCAUGCAGCUUCUGUCAAAUUUAAGCUCAGCUCCUCACUAAAAUAAGAAGGAAGCCAAGAUAAACAAG